UUUUUUGAGAGUUUGAUCCUAGCUCAGGGUGAACGCUGGAAACGUGGAUACCGGCAUGCAAGUCACGGGGACCGCAAGGUAACCGGCAAACGGCUUAGUAACACGUGGGUACAUACCCAGAAGUGGAGCACAGCUCGUCGAAAGACGGGGUAAUUCUCCAUAGUAUCGCAAGAUUAAACGCGCAAGCGGCUUCUGGAAUGGCCUGCGGCCUAUCAGCUUGUUGGUGAGGUAAAGGCUCACCAAGGCUAUGACGGGUAGGGGGCGUGAGAGCGCGACCCCCAAGAAUGGCACUGCGACACGGGCCAUACUCCUACGGGAGGCUGCAGUCGAGAAUCUUCCGCAAUGGACGAAAGUCUGACGGAGCGACGUUUCGUGAAGGAUGAAGCCCUUCGGGGUGUAAACUUCUUUUAACCGGGAAGAAAUCCGCAAGGAUUGACUGUACCGGUGGAAUAAGGGGUUCCUAACUCUGUGCCAGCAGGAGCGGUAAUACAGAGACCCCAAGCGUUACCCGGAUUUAUUGGGCGUAAAGGGUCCGUAGGUGGCGUAGUAAGUUGGAAAUUAAAGCUCAUCGGCUUAACCUUUGAGAUGUUUUCAAUACUGCUAUGCUUAGAGGGCGUUAGAGGCUAACAGAACCGAUGGAGUAGGGGUGAAAUCCGUUGAUAUCAUCGGGAAUACCAAAAGCGAAGGCAGUUAGCUGGGGCGACCCUGACACUGAGGGACGAAAGCGUGGGGAGCAAAAAGGAUUAGAUACCCUUGUAGUCCACGCCGUAAACGAUGAUGACUGGCUAUUGGCAGUGUCGACCCUGCCAGUGGCGAAGCUAACGCGUUAAGUCAUCCGCCUGGGAAGUACGAACGCAAGUUUAAAACUCAAAGGAAUAGACGGGGACUCACACAAGCAGUGGACCAUGUGGCUUAAUUCGACAACAAACGAAAACCUUACCAGGACUAGAAACCCAGACGACAAUCUGAUGAAAGUCAGACUUCGCAAGACGGCUGGGCAGGUGCUGCAUGGUUGUCGUCAGUUCGUGUCUUGAGACGUUCCCUUAAUUGGGGUAACGAACGUAACCCUUGCUCUGUGUUUUAUAUGUCACAGAGGACUGCCCGAGAUAAUUGGGAGGAAGGNNNNNNNNNNNNNNNNNNNNNNNNGAGGACUGCCCGAGAUAAUUGGGAGGAAGGUGAGGAUGACGCCAAAUCAGCAUGGCCCUUGAUGUCCUGGGCUGCACACGUGGUACAAUGGUCGGUACAAUGGGAGCAAAGCCGUAAGGUGGAGCAUAAUCUCAUCAAAGCCGAUCUCAGUUCGGAUUGAGGGCUGAAACUCGUCCUCAUGAAGUUGGAAUUGCUAGUAAUCGCCAAUCAGCUAUGUGGCGAUGAAUACGUUCCUGAGUCUUGUACUCACCGCCCGUCAAGCCAAGCGAGCUGGGGAUAGCCGAAGUUCCAAGCAAUUGGGCCUAAGCUAGAUUCAGUAAGAGGGGCUAAGUCGUAACAAGGCACGGGUAGCGGAAGCUGCUCGUGGAUCAUAUUUUUA
Candidatus Staskawiczbacteria bacterium is the source of this 1525-nucleotide non-coding RNA. NCBI's taxonomy places the organism in Bacteria, Candidatus Staskawicziibacteriota. The record is from Rfam.